CUGUCUCUUCCUGCAUCUCUGGUCCUGUUCCCUAUGCUUUUGCUCUCCUUGCCUCUCUGUUCCGCUUCCUGUCCUUCACACUUCCGUCUUUACUUCUCAGCUCCGCUCCCUGCGCCACGCUCAGCUCACACUCCCAGGCGAACUGCCCCGGCAGCCAUUCUCUGCAGGCGGGAGACGGCGGGGAGCGGUCCUGCAGCGGCGAGUCGGGCCCGGGACAGGCGCCUCGGCCCUGGGGCCGGAGCGGGGCCGCUCCGAGCCAGCGGAGGCAGCUGGAGCUGCGGCCCGGGGAGCGGGGCCGCCGCAGCCCCACAGCCCCGGGGCCGCCCCUCAGGGCCCCGCGCGGAAUGGCGGCAGCGGCGGGAAGGAGCCCGCGGGCGGCGGGCAGCUCCGCCUCCCUGCCGUGCCACACGCGGCAGCUGGCCUCAGGAGCACCGCCGGUGGUGUGGGGACACUGGUCCCACAGCUGGGGACGAGCCGCCGAGCAGCACAAUGCCGCGGAAUGCAUUAAGGGAGAGAGUGCGUGUAUGAGCGAGUUAAGGAGCAAAGAAGGGCAGAGUUCAUCGGUGCCUCCCCUCGGAGAGGAACGGAGGGCCCGAGAUGGCACCCAGACGCAAAGCCGAGGCACCUGACCGGCCUGCCUGGGUUCUGGGUAGGAGAUGUCACCGAGAGACCCUCUAGCCUGGUACGGCCCUCUGCUGAUCAUGUGCUGCAGCCUUCAAGGUGGGCAUCGACGUGUGCUUGAUUCCAGAGGAUGGCAUUGGCUGAGUUUAUGCAGCCGGGCAGCUGGAGACUGCUUAUGAGCCUUGGAGACAUGCCAGAGGUGGAAAGCUGUCAGUGCCUCUGUGCUUGUGGCUGUAAACCCCCCAGGGUUUAACUGGUGCUUCCUGGCCAAUUGUACCAAAGGAAGAGCUACUCAGCUGAAAGGCCACCUGUGUUAACUCUUACCUGUGGGAACUGACACCUUUGUGUGUAACGCCUGGCAGUUCCUCAUGAUGUCCAAGGACAAGCAAGAGGGAGCUCAGGGCCUCUGGAAGACUGCUUGAGGCAUGUGGGGCACACAUAGUGUUCACUUCUGCCACUUGCAGUUAACCAGACACAGGAAGGUUCUAGAGAUGAGCACGUGGCGUCCUGGUGUUCCCAGCAAAAGUGUGGGGAUUUGACUGUGGGUUGGUCUACAGGACACGAAGCCCCUGAUGGUGGCACUUGGGCCGCACCUGCUGCAAAGGGAAAAAGGAUUUUUGCUCAGGGGUUAUUGGGGGUCCUUGAGAGAGCUUUAAUCAGGGUUGGAAAUGAAAGGGAAUAAAGCAGGCUCGCUUGGGAGAUGCCUGAGCACUGCACAUCCAUGUAGGCAUGAGAAUAGAGUAGCGAGAAAGUGCUGCCUUCAAAGGUCACAAAACUGUAGCAGAAUUAUCGGGAAAAGCAUGCUUCCUGCCAGAAUGGUGCCAAGACAAAAAUGGUACUGAAGAACAGCACUUGCAGUGGGGUUUUUUAAUGCAGCCUUCAUAAGGGGCUUUUGAUAGGGAUUGCUGAGGAAUAAAGAGUGCCUCUGCAUUCCUCCUCACAGUGCUGCCUCCCAGAAUACCUCCACCCUUCUCUACCUGUGCUCCUUACAGGCCUGUGCAGAAUGAGGAGAUUCAAUAGAGGGAAGGUGCAUGAAUUCACCAGGCAAUAUGAGCAUAUACUAGGGAGUUCACAGACACCACUUUGCUGUGAGAUCACAGAGCCCUGUUUGAUGUGAGGUCCCAGAGCCCCACUGUGCUCUUCAGUGCUCACUCUGGGCAACACUGGAGAAGCAGCAGUGGCAGUGGAGGCACAAUGUUGCGAGCACGGGGGGUCUUGGUCCUGACCCACUACCUCCUGCUCCUGUUUCUCCUGGCCCUGCAAGCACAGAAUGCCCAGAGUGCUCCAAUGCCUGGGCAGGGAGCAGGUAGGCAGGCAGGGGCCAGCACACAGCCCUGGCUGGUGGCAGUGGGGCCAGGGCUGGGCCUGGCUGAGCCAGGAAGCCACCAUGGUGUAGGCAGUGGGGCAGACACACCAGGAGAGGUGUGAGGGGCUGCAGCUGCUGCAGGGUGCAGCGUGGAGAGAGGUUCCUAAGGAGCAGGGAGGUGGGGAGACAACAGUUCAGGCCCAGAACCUUGGCCCUGAGUUAUCUGUCACUCUGCACUGGUCAGCCAUCAAAUUCAGCUCUGGUUAGCCGUGGCUCAGCACUGGGUUUUCCACCACCCAGCACUGCUUAUUCAGCCUCCUGACCACGCUCCAGGGCUGACCCAACCACAGGUUGUGUGAGCAUGCCAUGGCUUUUCACUUCACGGGAGAGCUGCCAGCUCAGUGUCCCAAGGGCAGUCAGACCCCUCUGCAGCUGUGACAAUACAGACCUGCCUGUGCGUGCCCUGUCAGGACCUUUCUCAUCCAGGCCUUGAAGUGUGACCAUGACGGCACUGCAUAUGAUGGUAACUUCUUGUGGGUGUUUGGUUGUAGUUGUGGACAGAGAGAGUGCUCUUUCAGCCCCUGAGCUAGAGCCAGAUUCUAUGCUGAUUCCGAGUUGGUAUCUCAAGCGUGAGUAAUCAGUCUCUACGCCUUCACAAGAAUGAGCACUACUUUUCCUUGUGCUAUUCAUGGGAAAUGUGCCUUCAUAGGUUAACAUCCAUUUUUAAAUCUAACAUAGGUAAGGAUUAUGACAAGGUCCCUGAAGAAUUCCCUGGAGGAUUCCCUGAAGGAUUCCCUGAAGUUCCAGAAGACCUCCUGACAGCCUGGGAUGAAGCUUCAUCUGAGAGAGAUGAUGAAAACCCUGAUGUGCUGGAAACCAUUCCUAUGGAAGAAAGUGACAGUGUGCCGGGCUCAGAUACAAAAAUAGAACCAAUACAGGAUACCAACCCACUUAUUGAGCCUCAGGAGUUUUCAGGUGAGUGCCUGGGAGAUGCUGUCUUGGGAAAAGAGAAGAGUUUCAGCUGUAUCUCUGCAGGUCGCUCCAUAGAUGAAUUGCAGGUGCUCAGCACACAGCCCUGGCCUGCAGCUUAGAGGAGCAGACAGGAGCAGUGCUGUUCCCUGGCACACACUGCGUUCUUCUCCAUGGGAACAUUAGGAGAUCCCUCUUGGUCCCUGGUGCUAAAACACCAGAGCCAGAGGGACCAAUCUCUGAAGACAACAAUCCUUGGGCACCUGAAGUGCACUGUGAGAUUAUCCCUAGUGCAGAGUACAAACAUCGUCUCUUGCAUUGUCUCGCACAUUGUCUUUUCUCCUGCCAGGUUCAGCUGCUGGGCAAAAAGCUGAGACUGCUGGACACUGUGACCCGAGCAAGUACUACAUCCUAGGGACAGUAGCAGCCUCGGCUUUGCUUCUGCUUGGGGCAGUGUGUGGGUAUAUUGUCAUGUAUCAGCUGCUGAAGAGAGACAGGAGGACGCAGGAAGACAAAGAAGCACUAGGGCAAGACUACACUGGUUCUUCCUGGGAAAGGCGUGGUCAUCCUAGAGGUAAAGGUGAAGCAGAGUCAGGAGGAGGACCAGGAAGGGAUGAGACAGCCCAAGGCAACAGGUUCCGGGACAGCUGCCGCCUGUUUCCUGAGGUCUUUGCAGCAGAGCUUGCCCAGCGGUACAAGAACAUGGGCGCAGACCCCUCACCUCUGCCCACGUGUCCCUUCUGUAAGAAAUAGAGGUUAUGAAGGCCCCACCUUGAGGUUAGUUCUCCCAUGUUGUCUCGUUCUGUUACCAACUGUUAUUCUCACUGUCGUGUAAUAGUUGUAAUUACUGUAUCUUACUUCUACCCCAAGGAUUCAUUUAUGUAUCCCCUGCCCUCCUACAAGUUACCGUUUAUUGUAUCCAUUGCAUUCAUCUGUGUAGGCCCUGUUCACCUAGGUGUUUGCAUGUUGCAGUCCAGUGUAUUCAUUGUAUUGGUUUGUGCUCCCUUUUCUCUCUCAUGUAUUACUGUUUUAUGUACUCACCCUGUGUACCCUCCUGUUCUCCUGUGUGAUGCUGAUCCUCCCCAAAGCCCCCUCCUCUUGUUUUUCCAUCGGGAAACCGCCCGCUGCUCCCACCAUCUCUGCUCUGCUCUCCAUGUGGCCUAAAAAUGGCCCUGCCAGCUACCCAUACCUCACAAAAUGGCUGCCCCACAGACAGAAUAUGCAAAGGAGCUGGCAUAUAGCCAAGUUGAGUGAAAUAAACCUUUAAAUCAGCCAACCUAGAAAGAGUUCUUACAAAAGAAACAUAACACCUAAUAAAGAAAAGACGUAGUGUUGGAGUCCAGAAGAUCCCUCUGACAGCCCUGGAGAGUCAGGGGGCUGUACAGGGGGGUCUGGGAUCUGUACAAGGGGGUCAGCCAGCCUCCCACAGAGCCCAGAAGGACUCUGAUUCUGGCUUCUAUCCAUGGAAGUGAUUGCUCACAUGAAGGAAGAAUCACAGAUCCCAAGAAUUUAGAAGUAGAUAGUAGUUUGUUAUAGAGUAUAAAUAUAGAGAUUAGGAUUCAUAGUAUACGGGGCUGAGAGGACAAGAUGGAGGAAUUGGGGAGUGGCCCCUAGUUUCCUUGUUCUUGUUCUCAUCCCCCAUCUUUUGCUGAUUUGGACUUUAGAGACUGGUUUAGAAUAGAACUGACAUGUUAGCGUAGCAAGUUAGUAUUGGUAAUGUUCUGUAAACAAUAAAUACGUCUUGGACUGUGGUUGGGUCGGGAGUACGGUACAUAAGGUACGGGGCUCUCUGAUCCGCCCCAGUCCAGCAGCAGCCCAGUCCAGCGGCAGCCCAGCGCCAGUCCAACGGCGUGUCUUGCUUUGCUGGGGACGCCUUGCAAAGCCGAACAAGAACUGUUAGAUAAUAUGAAAUAAACAACCUUGAUAACUUGAGCUGCUGGACUCACAGUGUCGUCUCUGCCUUUGGUGUGAAACGCUCAGGGCAAAGAGAAGACAGAAACCCUUAUUAUCUUGGGGAACAGCAACCCCAGGAAAAUACCCAGGGAACAGCAACCCUGGGGGAAGAUUUCACCACCUCGGGGAACGGCCGCCCCGAGGGGAAUCUCGGGGAACAUCAACCCUGAGAACGUAGCUUUCAACAGAGAAGAAGUCACAAGUGUCGCCCUGACUUGUACUGAGCUCCAUCAGAGUAGGACCCCUAGACUCUGAGCCAUUUAACUGAGGUCUUUGGACGUUCCCGUGAGGACGAGACCCCCGGACCUGGUGUCGACGACAGCAGGGACGACGUGCUCCUCCUCUUCGACGUCGACCCGGGAGCAGCGGAGGCGGCGGCGCGCACCCCUCGAGCUCCCACCCCAAGGCUGAAAUCUUUUAAUAAAGGCUUUUAAAAAGGAGAAGAAGCUCUCCUGGCCCUAAUUUAUAACACUUCUGUGAUCUGGCUGAUGGUGCCUCUUCACAGGACCACUGGACUUCCCUGGACUCACCUCAGCCCACACCAUUCUCAUGCCCCUGCUGCCAGUACCAGCAGGAAUAUUUUAUAUUAGAGGAAAACGAUUAUUUUAGUGAUAGCAUGUAAAUAAAUAUAUUUCUAAAAGCAGUAAGUUCUUGCCUGUUGUGGCUGUUUCUGUUGGGGUAGAAUGCCCAGAGCUGGGAACAGGGCUGGAGCUGUGAGAUGAGCUGUGAGAAACCUGCACUGCAGUGCAGAACCUGUUUGUGCCAGCCUCAGCCUGCUUUCCCAGCAAUGGCCAUCAGCAAGGCUUUCCUGCACCAGUACAGGGACAUGCUGGUGAGAUGUGCAAAGGCUUGUCCAAGAGCUCAUUUGUGAUGCUGCCUGAAGGACUGUGCCCCGUGGAAGAGUGACCCACAUUGCAGCAAUCUGUGGAGAACGUUUGUUCCUGGGAUGCACUCACACUGGUGAAAAAGGUGGGGGCUGUCUCCCAUGGGAGGUACCCCAGACUGGUGCAGAGGGCAGGCCAAGGCUCUUUGCAGCAGAGAGUUUUGCCUCAACCCUUGAAUGAAGCCCUACAAAGUCUUGUUGUGAAAUACAAAGUUAUGUUUCGUGUCAGGGAAAUGAAGAAAAUCUGUGUAAUCAUAGGGAUGGAACACAGCCAUGGGACAGUUAUAAAGAUGAGUUCUAAUAAACAGCUGAGGAAAGCAUGGAAGGAAGUUUUUGAAUAAAUCUUUUGCUUGCAAUUAUCUAUUAUAAGUCUCAAGCUAUUCUGCAAUUAGUGUCCUUUAAUUAUAACUUUAGAAGCUUGUUUUGUAUUAAAGAAUUUUAAACUGUAGUUUUAGAGUGCAAAAAGGUUUUCUUUUAGACAAAAGAAGGAAAAAGGAGGGGGCUCAGGCCUCACAUAAGGUGGGAAAACAUCCUGGACAUGAAGAUAUGACUUCAGCUCACUGAUUUAUGACUCCUGGAGAAGGAAACUGGACAUCAGCAUUUGGAAAUUGAUGGACUUGAAAAUAGAGAUGGGACCCCCACAUCUGGAAGCCAGAUCCCACCACCUGGAAAACGUAUCCUGGAAGUACAUCCUGGAGUAUUGAAAUAUCAGAAUAGAUCACAAUGGUCCAUAGAAUUAUACAGGACAAUCUAUAGAUUUAUGGCUGUUAGGUAUUGAAUUGUGACGUUAAAACUAGAAAUGGAAACUGCUGAGAAAGCUUAUGAAUAUGUAUAAAAUACCAUCAAAUCCAGCAAUGGGUGUGCAGUUGGAAGGGAAAACCCCUGCCACUGUACCCAGCGCUGCCUCUUUGCUCACACUUUACCAUGUUAAUUAAUUAAUUAUUAAAUUGCUGCUUGAUAUAUUGGCCGUGUCAAGCGUCUUAUUUUUAACAAUUUGGUGGAGAAUGCGGGCAACUCCAAUCCAUUGAGGGAGGCCCCUGAUCUCGGGGAGGCGCCCCACCUUGCAGGCUUUUGCCUCAGGUGGCCCUGAGUGACUGGGGAAUCUUUCAGGGAGAAGGAGAUCCUCGAGGUAAAUUGUGAGCGAAGGAUUUUGAGCUCCCGGAUAAAGCUGCAGUGAAAUUCACCUGUAAUAACUCGUGCACAGAGACCCAGGCGAGAAAAGGAGGCUGUAAGUAUCGCUUGGUUAGGUGGGCUAAGAACGGGUACACACGUGUGAGAGUGUGAGUGGUGUGUGUGUGAGACGUGGUCUGACCACGAAGUGAUUGUGGAGUUCUUCUAACCUCGGUUCCGUGUCUCCGCGAGGGGAGCGGCAGGUGAAGGAACAAAGCGAGUGUUGGUAAAGG
Prinia subflava (tawny-flanked prinia) is the source of this 7135-nucleotide RNA transcript. RefSeq lists it as uncharacterized. The transcript is spliced from 4 exons. The record is from RefSeq and is a predicted model, not a curated record. Lineage: Eukaryota; Metazoa; Chordata; Aves; Passeriformes; Cisticolidae.